Molecule: ribosomal RNA, 253 nt
Filed under: uncultured bacterium
Lineage: Bacteria
Description: partial 16S ribosomal RNA
Rfam family: Bacterial small subunit ribosomal RNA
Source: RNAcentral
UACGUAGGGUCCAAGCGUUAUCCGGAAUCACUGGGCGUAAAGCGUGCGUAGGUGGCGUGUUAAGCGUGAUGUUAAAUCGUGUGGCUCAACCAUAUCGAUGUGUCGCAUACUGGCAUGCUAGAGGGAAGCAGAGGCAAGUGGAAUUUGUAGUGUAGCAGUGAAAUGCGUAGAUAUUACAAGGAACACCAAUGGCGAAGGCAGCUUGCUGGGCUUCUUCUGACACUGAGGUACGAAAGCGUGGGGAGCGAACAGG